This 376-nucleotide ribosomal RNA is filed under the name uncultured bacterium. RNAcentral describes it as "bacterial SSU rRNA". It matches the Rfam family "Bacterial small subunit ribosomal RNA", at positions 524 to 898 of the family's 1533-position model. The record is from RNAcentral.
UACGGAGGGUGCGAGCGUUAAUCGGAAUUACUGGGCGUAAAGGGUGCGUAGGUGGUUUAGUAAGAUAGUUGUGAAAUUCCUGGGCUCAACCUGGGGAGGUCAAGUGUGACUGCUAGACUAGAGUAUAGGAGAGGGUAGUGGAAUUUCCGGUGUAGCGGUGAAAUGCGUAGAGAUCGGAAGGAACACCGGUGGCGAAGGCGGCUACCUGGCCGGAUACUGACACUGAGGCACGAAAGCGUGGGGAGCAAACAGGAUUAGAUACCCUGGUAGUCCACGCUGUAAACGAUGUCAACUAGCUGUUGGCCUUAUAGAAGAGGUUAGUGGCGCAGCAAACGCGAUAAGUUGACCGCCUGGGGAGUACGGUCGCAAGAUUAAA